CACAACACAUCUAUUUCUACAACACUUACAUAUCUAUCUAUAUGUAUAUAUAGUCCUCAUGGGAAGGAAAGGAGUCAUAUUCUUCAUUGAAACAAGCCUAGCUCUCUCUUGGUAUCAAUCAGUUAAUAAAUAAAUCCCUUCUGCUACCUCAUACGCCGGCAGCAAUUUAAGUACUAUGCAACCCCAGUACUUGUUUUUUCCGUGCUGUUUUCGAUUCAUAGUCUUAGCUACAAAGAAUGUUGGUUGAUAACCAAGUUCUACUCAAGAGAGCAGCAGCAUGAGAGCAGCAAUGAGGAAGCAUACGAGAUAUUGGUGCGGUUCAAUUAGAAAGCUGUGCUCCAUGGUUAUAGAGCUCGGUCAUUUUGAUUGAGCCGUGCCAAUAUCACGUAUAUAUAUAUAUAUAUACACACACAAUACUACCACAGGUGUAUAUGUCCAUGAAAAUCCAAAAUCAGGUGCAUCAAUCUUCUUUGAUUUUGUUUCUUUUCAUUCUGCUACCUCACUGUGUUUUUAUUUCUCUAUUUUUCUUUGGGAAUACACAAAGAUGGAACAUGUAUGCCCCUCACAAUCAGAUCCAUGGACAAACAGGAAAAACACUGGGGAUGUGGUGGAAAAGGAAGGAGAAGAAGUCCAUUUCACACAGCAUUUAAUUACUUGCCUCUACCUAAAGCUAUCCUACUUUUUUGACCAAGCAUUGUUGGUAGGUGGAACACUCCAUCUUUUCUACCCCAUCAUUUAAUGUCAUUUCAAAGAAGCAAACAACAGUUUCCAAGUUGAAGUAUAGCUCUAUCAUAUUCUUGUUUCAAACCCCACAAUUAAAUAAUUUAGCCAAUAGUAAAGCUUUGUGAGUAUAACCACCGUUUAUGUAUUCUAAUCAGAGUCAUGUAUGACCCUGUGUGUAUGACCUAUCUUAGGUAGCUUCUAGAUGUAGGCUUACGUUAUAUUUUCCUUGAUUUGCACAAGAUAUGACAACAUUAGAUACAUAUAUAAUAAGUAAAGGUGAAUGAAACAUAUAAGAAGCAAGGGAAAAGAUAUCCUUAUCUGAGUGGAAAGAUGAUGUGUUAGUCUUGAGGCUCCACUUAUGAGACAUCAUCAUCAAUGUCCUGUGCCCAAACAAUCUCUUGAGUUUUAGUGUUGCUGAUCCAUGACCAAACACGAUAGCCCCAUUUGCCUAACACUUUUAAUAACCACUCGAAAGCAACAGUUGCAAAAAGAAGAAUCUUUAUUAGAUGCUUUAAACUGGAAUUGUAAUAAUUCCAUGGAUAAUUUCCCCUUGCAGUUGGUCGUUGAGAUUUUUUCCCUGCUUUGAUGGUGUGAAUCUGUUGCUUCUCCACUGAUGAAAUGCUUAGGCAUUACUGCUCACAGACUGCAGUAGAAAUGUUGCAUAAGGUGAAAAUAGAUAUUAUUGAUGCAGGGGAAUGGUAACAAGUGAAAAAGGAUUCUGCACUGCAGUUCAACAAGAAGUUAUCCAAUUCAAGCUUUCUAUUGGGAAAUUUUAUUACCCUGUUGUACCAAAUAGACAAACUGUAGAAAAGGAAAAAGGACUUGUUAUAUCACAAAGAAAUUCUCCAGCCAGAAGAGUGGCAGUGGCCACCAGGUUGAUUGAGAGGUUCAAAAUCACAAACAUAUUGAGAUAUUCUUUCACCAAUUUCUGCAUUUCAAACACAUAUUCUUGGAGUCAGGGUUGAACAUCUAGGUAAAA
This is a long non-coding RNA of Andrographis paniculata, 1702 nucleotides long. RefSeq lists it as uncharacterized. The record is from RefSeq and is a predicted model, not a curated record. The transcript has 2 exons. Lineage: Eukaryota; Viridiplantae; Streptophyta; Magnoliopsida; Lamiales; Acanthaceae.